This 428-nucleotide ribosomal RNA is filed under the name uncultured bacterium. Its description in RNAcentral is "partial 16S ribosomal RNA". It matches the Rfam family "Bacterial small subunit ribosomal RNA", at positions 354 to 796 of the family's 1533-position model. The record is from RNAcentral.
GUAGGGAAUAUUGCGCAAUGGGGGAAACCCUGACGCAGCGACGCCGCGUGAGUGAUGAAGGCCUUCGGGUCGUAAAGCUCUGUUGCAGGGGAAUAAAAAAAUGAAGGUACCCUGUGAGGAAGGAUCGGCUAACUUCGUGCCAGCAGCCGCGGUAAGACGAGGGAUCCUAGCGUUGCUCGGACUCAUUGGGCGUAAAGAGGGCGUAGGUGGCUUGGUAAGUCAGGUGUGAAAGCCCAGGGCUCAACCCUGGAAGUGCAUUUGAUACUGCUGAGCUUGAGUGUCGGAGAGGUUAGCGGAAUACCUGGUGUAGUGGUGAAAUACGUAGAUAUCAGGUGGAACACCGGAGGCGAAGGCGGGUAACUGGACGAACACUGACACUGAGGCCCGAAAGCGUGGGGAUCAAACAGGAUUAGAUACCCCAGUAGUCC